CCUACGGGGAGCAGCAGUGAGGAAUAUUGGGCAAUGGGAGAGAUCCUGAACAAGCCAAGCCGCGUGAGGGAAGACGGCCCUAUGGGUUGUAAACCUCUUUUGUCGGAGCACAAAACCCGGGACGUGUCCCGUACUGCGUGUAUCCGAAGAAAAAGCAUCGGCUAACUACGUGCCAGCAGCCGCGGUAAUACGGAGGAGGCGAGCGUUAUCCGGAUUUAUUGGGUUUAAAGGGUUCGUAGGCGGUCCGUUAAGUCAGCGGUAAAAUUGCGGGGCUCAACCCCGUCGAGCCGUUGAAACUGGCAGACGUGAGGGAGCGAGAAGUACGCGGAAUGCGCGGUGUAGCGGUGAAAUGCAUAGAUAUCGCGCAGAACUCCGAUUGCGAAGGCAGCGUACCGGCGCCAGACUGACGCUGAGGCACGAAAGCGUGGGGAUCGAACAGGAUUAGAUACCCUAGUAGUC
Molecule: ribosomal RNA, 459 nt
Filed under: uncultured bacterium
Lineage: Bacteria
Description: partial 16S ribosomal RNA
Rfam family: Bacterial small subunit ribosomal RNA
Source: RNAcentral